UACGUAGGGAGCAAGCGUUGUCCGGAAUCAUUGGGCGUAAAGCGCGCGUAGGUGGCUUCAUAAGUCCGUUGUGAAAGUCAAAGGCUCAACCUUUGAAAGCCGAUGGAUACUGUGAAGCUAGAGUACGGAAGAGGCGAGCGGAAUUCCUGGUGUAGCGGUGGAAUGCGCAGAUAUCAGGAGGAACACCAAUAGCGAAGGCAGCUCGCUGGGACGUUACUGACACUGAGGCGCGAAAGCGUGGGGAGCGAACAGG
RNAcentral lists this ribosomal RNA (253 nucleotides) under uncultured bacterium. RNAcentral describes it as "partial 16S ribosomal RNA". It matches the Rfam family "Bacterial small subunit ribosomal RNA", at positions 524 to 776 of the family's 1533-position model. The record is from RNAcentral.